Molecule: ribosomal RNA, 2227 nt
Filed under: metagenome
Description: bacterial LSU rRNA
Rfam family: Bacterial large subunit ribosomal RNA
Source: RNAcentral
GGCUCGGAGAUGUGUAUAAGAGACAGGGGAAGAGCCCAAACGUGUAAAAAGAGAAAAUAGCCAGUCGAAUCAUCUGGGAAGACGAACCAAAGAAGGUAACAGUCCCGUAGACGAAGGCGAAGAUAUCCGACACAAAAGAGUACCACGGAACACGAGAAAUUCAGUGGGAAUACAGGGGGACCACCCCCUAAGGCUAAAUACUACUUGGUGACCGAUAGCGAACAAGUACCGUGAGGGAAAGGUGAAAAGAACCCCUGGAGGGGAGUGAAAUAGAAUCUGAAACCUAGUGUUUACAAGCAGCGAAAGUGGCAAAAGCCACGAUCGUGUACUUUUUGUAGAACGGGCCAGCGAGUUACGAUUACAAGCAAGGUUAAACAUUAAAGAUGUGGAGCCGAAGCGAAAGCGAGUCUAAAGAGGGCAAAAGUUAGUAGUCGUAGACCCGAAACCGUGUGAUCUAUCCAUGAGCAGAGUGAAGUUGAAGUAAAAUUCAAUGGAGGCUCGAACCGGGUAGCGUUUAAAAGCUAUCGGAUGACUUGUGGAUAGGGGUGAAAAGCCAAACGAACACGGAGAUAGCUGGUUCUCCUCGAAAUAGCUUUAGGGCUAGCCUCUAGCAAGAAUGAAAAGGGGGUAGAGCACUGACUGGUCAAGGGGCAUGCAUAUGUUACCGAGACCUAUCAAACUCCGAAUACCAAAUCAUACGCUAGGGAGUCAGACUAUGGGGGAUGAGCUUCAUAGUCGAAAGGGAAAGAGCCCAGACCAUCAGCUAAGGUCCCAAAAUUAUAGUUAAGUGGGAAAGGAUGUGGAGUUACUGAGACAACUAGGAUGUUGGCUUAGAAGCAGCCACUCAUUUAAAGAGUGCGUAAUAGCUCACUAGUCAAGUGACUCUGCGCCGAAGAUAACCGGGGCUAAACUAUAUACCGAAGCUAUGGAACGAAAAACGUUGGUAGAGGAGCAAUGUAUGAAGGAAGAAGCAGAAGUUGAAAAGCACUGUGGACAUCAUACAAGAGAGAAUGCUGGCAUGAGUAGCGAGAGGUGAGUGAGAAUCUCACCCGUCGAAAACCUAAGGAUUCCUGAGCAAGGCUCGUCCACUCAGGGUAAGUCGGGACCUAAGGCGAGGCUGAAAAGCGUAGUCGAUGGACAACAGGUUGAAAAUCCUGUACCGAUACAAUCAGUGAGGAAGUGGGGACGCAGAAGGAUAAUAAGAGCGCCCAGUUGGUGAGGCGUGCAAGCGCAAAGGAUGGGAAGUAGGCAAAUCCGCUUUCCGAGAAGUCUAAAGCGUGAUGCGGAUCGAAAACAAGUAGAGAAGCUUAUAACUCCACACUGCCAAGAAAAGCCACUACAAGAGAAGUAUCGCCCGUACCGCAAACCGACACAGGUAGGUGAGGAGAGAAUCCUAAGACGAGCGGAAAAACCUUUGUUAAGGAACUCGGCAAAAUGACCCCGUAACUUCGGGAGAAGGGGAGCCCCUGUAAAAGGGGGCCGCAGUGAAAAGGCCCAAGCGACUGUUUACCAAAAACACAAGUUUCUGCGAAGUCGAAAGACGAAGUAUAGGAGCUGACACCUGCCCGGUGCUGGAAGGUUAAGGGAAAAAGUUAGCAUAAGCGAAGCUUAGAACUGAAGCCCCAGUAAACGGCGGCCGUAACUAUAACGGUCCUAAGGUAGCGAAAUUCCUUGUCGGGUAAGUUCCGACCCGCACGAAAGGCGUAAUGAUUUGGGCACUGUCUCAACGAGAGACUCGGUGAAAUUUUAGUACCUGUGAAGAUGCAGGUUACCCGCGACAGGACGGAAAGACCCCAUGGAGCUUUACUGCAGUUUGAUAUUGAGUAUCUGUACCACAUGUACAGGAUAGGUAGGAGCCUAUGACCUCGGGACGCCAGUUUCGAGUGAGGCGUUGUUGGGAUACUACCCUUGUGUUAUGGCUACUCUAACCCAGAUAGGUUAUCCCUAUCGGAGACAGUGUCUGACGGGCAGUUUGACUGGGGCGGUCGCCUCCUAAAAGGUAACGGAGGCGCCCAAAGGUUCCCUCAGAAUGGUUGGAAAUCAUUCGCAGAGUGUAAAGGUAUAAGGGAGCUUGACUGCGAGAGCUACAACUCGAGCAGGGACGAAAGUCGGGCUUAGUGAUCCGGUGGUUCCGUAUGGAAGGGCCAUCGCUCAACGGAUAAAAGCUACCCUGGGGAUAACAGGCUUAUCUCCCCCAAGAGUUCACAUCGACGGGGAGGUUUGGCAC